GGGCCUGUAGUCUAGUGGAUAGGGCAUGCGUUUCCGGAGCGCAAAAUCGGGGGUUCAAAUCCCUCCAGGCUCA
This 73-nucleotide transfer RNA is filed under the name Pycnococcus provasolii. RNAcentral describes it as "tRNA-Arg". It matches the Rfam family "tRNA". From Rfam's summary of the family: Transfer RNA (tRNA) molecules are approximately 80 nucleotides in length. Their secondary structure includes four short double-helical elements and three loops (D, anti-codon, and T loops). Lineage: Eukaryota; Viridiplantae; Chlorophyta; Pseudoscourfieldiophyceae; Pseudoscourfieldiales; Pycnococcaceae. The record is from RNAcentral. RNAcentral also lists the same sequence under 1 other name.